This is an RNA transcript of Mercurialis annua (annual mercury), 2497 nucleotides long. RefSeq lists it as uncharacterized. Lineage: Eukaryota; Viridiplantae; Streptophyta; Magnoliopsida; Malpighiales; Euphorbiaceae. The record is from RefSeq and is a predicted model, not a curated record. The transcript has 16 exons.
AUUAAAUUAAAGCCUGGGUUGAUCCCGUUCCGGUUCUAAAAACAUGGGAGCAAACUAAUAAAAAAGGUAAAUAACCCUAAAUACCUGUUACCGCCAAGUUCUCAUUUCCUGUAAAGACUGAACUCCGGUAACUGAACCCCAAGAAAGUGACAAUCAGCUGCAAAUUCUGGUAAAUUGGUGGAAUGGAAAACGAAUCAUUGAAUCCCGAUAAGAUACGAGCGGACUUCAUUAAAGUGCUUCAUAGCAGACGAUCUGCUCAAGUUCCAUUAUCAGUUGAAGAAGGAAAGGGUGUUGCCAAUCCUUUAUUUCAGGGUAAUGGACCUCUACCUCCAAGGACUCAUACCCAGGGAAAUCGGCCUCCAAGGACGCAUGGCGAGGCGAUGGUGCAUUGUCCGAAGGCAGAGAUAAAGGAUUUUAAAAAUUUACUUAAAGAGGAGAAUCUUUAUUUGAUUACUGAGGCUGGAGAUCAAGGGCGUCUGCCUAUGCUGAUUCUUAGCUUGAAAGAGAGAAAUUAUAAAAGGCCUGCUAUAGUUUUCUUGCAUCCCACACAUUUAUGCAAAGAAUGGCUUCGCCCUAUGCUUGAGGCCUAUGCUUCACGCGAAUACAUAGCCAUUUCAAUUGACUGUCGCUACCAUGGUGAACGCGCAAGUAGUAAAACCACUUACCAAGAUGCCCUUGUAUCGGCAUGGAAGAAAGGUGACACAAUGCCAUUCUUGUUCGACACGGUCUGGGACUUGAUAAAACUGGCUGAUUACCUCACCCAGAGACAAGAUAUUGACUCCGCCAGGAUAGGAAUUACUGGCAUAUCACUGGGAGGAAUGCUUUCAUGGCUUGCUGCUGCUGCUGACACCAGAUAUGCAGUGACUGUCCCUAUGUUAGGUGUGCAAGGAUUUCGUUGGGCCAUUGACAAUGAUAAGUGGCAAACUCGGGUUGACACUUUAAGGCCUUUAUUUGAAGAAGCACAAAAAGAUUUGGGGAAGAACGCAAUUGACAAAGAAGUGGCGGAAAAGGUGUGGGAUAGAAUUGCUCCAGGUCUGACCUCCAGCUUUGAUUUACCGUACACAAUUCCCGCCAUUGCACCACGUCCACUGCUUAUUCUCAAUGGUGCAGAAGAUCCUUAUUGCCCGAUUGCGGGUUUAGAAAUUCCUAAAUUAAGAGCACAAAAGGCAUAUGAAGAAUCCCGUAGCCAGGAUAAAUUCAAGCUAAUCGCGGAACCUGGGAUUGGGCAUCUGAUGACACCAUUUAUGGUGAAAGAAGCGGCUGAUUGGUUCGACAAGUUCUUUUAAGAACUAUAAAAUGUCCAUUAAUUUAUAGUUCUCUAAAUAAUGUAAUCGGGAGCGGCUCCCUUUAAAUUUUUAAAUUUUAAAUUUCUAAUUUUUCUUCAUUAUAUUGUUGGAUUUACAUCUAGGUCCAUACAUCAAACUAAACUAUCAAUCUGAUCUGGAUUAACCCAAAACUUAUUUUAAUUUGGUGAUUUUUGUGUAAAGUGUGGUUUUUGAGUUUGUUUUAGGGUUAAGCACACAAAUAACCCAAAUGGUCCCCUUUCUUUCAUAAAUACAUCAGCUAAUAAAUAAAUGCAAAAAUCUCUCACAAUAAAAAAAUAGUUUUCAUAAAUACAUAAAAUCACCAAACAUAGAGGUUUUCAUUAAAAAUAGGACAAAAUUACCCUUCUUUAAGAAUCCACAUUUACAAGAUUUGUAAAUAUCGCUGGCUUCAUCAUCUCAUUCAAGAGGCGGCGAGAAUCUUCUAGAAACGGCAACGACGAUCUCCUAGAAGUGGCAGCGGCGAUCUCCAUUCCUCUGCUCCACUAUCCUUCCUUUCUCUGCUCCGAUGUCCUUCGCUCCUCUACUCUAUUGUCCUUUGUUCCGCCGUUCCGCCAAACCUUUGUCCAUCCACUUCGUCGUUCCACUGCUCCUCCGUUCUAUCGUUUUUCAUCAAUGUUGGUGCUGGCAUCGUUGGUGCCUCUCGCUCACACUAUCAGAAAGGAAGGAAGCUUGUUGAAAUGCAUAAAGCUGGAAAAUUUCAAAAAGGUUUUGGAUUUGAUGUUGAAAAUACAAUUGGCUGGUGGAAAUUUUUAGGUACUAUCAUUCCUAUCAUUGUUUGGCAUGUUAUUAAUGGAAAUUUAAAUAACUUGAUGCUUAACUUUUUUUUUGAAUUUGUUUAGUUCUAAUACCUCUAUUGGUGAUUUUUUUAUUGAGUGUGUGAAUAAAAAAGUUAUACUGGAGCAAAAUUCCAUGUCAAUGAGAAAUAUUGAUCCAGAAGAAGCAAAGUUGUGGUCUCUAAUAUGCAUCAAGACAAGGCUCCCAUUCCUGAUGGGUUAAACCCCGAGUUUUUAUUCAGAAAUAUUAUUUGGUUAUACCAUAUAAUAACUCUGUAGCAUUUCAAGAUGGAUUCCAUUCCAAUCUUGAUUAUGGCAUACUGCCAUGUAUAUUCAAUGUGAAUAUUGAGAAUCAACUCUUGUUGGUUGUGUUAUUGAUUUUUAAAAUAUUGGAUUACA